RNAcentral lists this ribosomal RNA (253 nucleotides) under uncultured bacterium. RNAcentral describes it as "partial 16S ribosomal RNA". It matches the Rfam family "Bacterial small subunit ribosomal RNA", at positions 524 to 776 of the family's 1533-position model. The record is from RNAcentral.
UACGUAGGGGGCAAGCGUUGUCCGGAUUUAUUGGGCGUAAAGAGCGUGUAGGCGGCCAGACAGGUCCGUUGUGAAAACUCGAGGCUCAACCUCGAGACGCCGAUGGAAACCGUUUGGCUAGAGUCCGGAAGAGGAGAGUGGAAUUCCUGGUGUAGCGGUGAAAUGCGCAGAUAUCAGGAAGAACACCUGUGGCUAAGGCGGCUCUCUAGUACGGUACUGACGCUGAGACGCGAAAGCGUGGGGAGCGAACAGG